This 2582-nucleotide unclassified non-coding RNA is filed under the name Actinia tenebrosa (Australian red waratah sea anemone). RNAcentral's name for it is "uncharacterized LOC116287037, transcript variant X1". The record is from RNAcentral. Lineage: Eukaryota; Metazoa; Cnidaria; Anthozoa; Actiniaria; Actiniidae.
AUCACCAAAGCAUCAGUUUUAGUUCAACAAUGAUUAAAAACGAUGUGUGUGUUAUCGGGCAUUAGCUGGAUUACAGUCCUGUAAAUCCAGUAGUAAAGCUUAGUUGUCCGACCAACGGGCUCAGUAGCAAAUAACGUUUUCUGACAUCGGCGGCCAAGGACCGGCAGUGAAUGUUUGGACUGAGGCGAUUUAGUAAGAAGUUGUAAGAUAGUUCCCAGGAUCAAUGCAGCCCGCAGUGCAGUAUCCAAAACCACCUCGGUCACCGAUGGCGAGCUUGAGGUCACAUCGUACUCUUUCCAACACCACAACAAGUUCUUUAGAUGAUGACAACGUUUCUUUGAGUUCUAGUUUUUCGGGUAGCUUAAGAAGAAGCACCGGUUUACCGAAAAUAUCUACCAGCGACUUUUCAGCUGUACGAGCAGCAGUAGGAAUCUCGCGGAUGAAGCAUGGACGUAAAGUGCGCAAAGCAACAACACAUCUUGAACACUACUCCAAUACACAAUCUGAUGGCAGUAAUCCUCGUGGCAGCAGACGUACAAGUACCAUAUACUCUCUGAGUGAGUUAGCAGUUGCUGGGGCCAAAGUGAAACGAAGAAAACGUAGCACACUUGAAACCUGGGGUAGACGAAGCACUGUCGGAGUAACCAAGUAUUUUGAUAAGCAUCUUCCGUCCGUAGAGCUGUUUAGACGUUGUGUUCGACUUGUACAAAUGUUCGCAUCCCUUUGUCAGUACAAAUACGAAAAGGAAAAUGAAGAUAACGAGGCCACUGCACACACAGUAUUUACAGAGUACAUCAACGAAGACGAUUCCAAAAUCGAUGGCGGACUCGCCUUUGAUGCUUCGUAUUUUAAAGCAAAUAGAAAGAUGCGAGUCUCACAAGAGGUCAAAAACAUUUUGUUAACACCCCCUGAACAAAGAACCGAGCAGCAAUUAGCUAAGAUCCUGUUUUCUUUGCGUUCGAUUCGAUCUUUUGCAGAAUAUCCCCAGAGAAUACAAAACAAGUUAAUAGCUGUUGGAUGGUUCGAAUCCCAUUCAGCCAAGAGAGCCAUACUACGUCAAGGUCAUAUUCCCCAAGCCUUCUACUUUGUCCUAUCUGGGUCAGCUGUGGUAACAGUAAUGGCCAAAAACGAGGCCUUUGCCAGGACAGUGCAUUUUUUACGUCGAGGAGACAGCUUUGGGGAAUUGGCUAUGUUACAUGACACUCGACGUCAGUCAACGGUCAUAUCACGAGAACCAAUCGAACUCUUGGUCAUUUCACGAGAGGACUUUGUUGACAUAUUCAUGUUAGCUGGAGGAAUUAAAAAUCUUAACGACCCUGACCAUAAGAAAUUCAUCAGAGGAAUCGAAUUUCUCAGAGGAUGGCCAAUAGAGUUACUUGGAGAGAAUCCAAAAAAGUGCUUGUUCCAUUUCUUCAGAAGCGGCUCCGUCCUUGUGAAAGACAGCAAUCAUACAGACUGGAUCUAUAUCAUUAAAUGGGGAAGCUGUCGAAUCCUUAAAAAACUCAAGCAAGUAAAGAGCCAGCUCACUGAGCAUAAAGAACGAGUUGUAGGAUUUGAAAAUGUAAAAAGUUUUGUACCUAAAGCUGAAUCUCGUUCAAGACUUGAACGCGUACGAACAAAGCUAUCUGUUGUAACCAAGCUACUGCCCAAGCUGACGCUGCGUUCACUAUCAAUGAUAGCAGAUGAAAAUGAAGUAGAUAAGACAUCUAGUAUCCGGCAUGAUGAAGGUGCAUAUAUUGAACAAGUUGCCGUGGCACAAGGAAUUCUUGCUCGAUUUCGUCAAAAGAGACCUUCUGCAAUACUUGAUGACAUGUCUUUCCCUGGAGAAAUGUCAGAGAACUCACCAUAUUCGUCCACACGUACGUCUCCAGAAUUAAAGGCCCGCAGGGCUUCAAGUCCCGCUAAACAGGCUGUGACGAACCGUAAAAAGUUGAUAGUUAUUGAUGGUUCUGUUAGUAGAAACUCGUCUUUUUCUGCUAAAAAGAGCGCAGGCGUCCAUGUGGAAGAGUCGCAUAAUAAUCGAAAGCUUUCAAGUCCAAAGUUUCAACGUUCAUCGUACGACAAGUCAUCUGAAAGUAGUUUAUCGCAUGCCUCUCAAGAAGAGUCUCCUGGUCCAGCCACAAGUUUCAUGAACCAACGCGCAAGAUCAAGGCUAUCGACAAAAAGUAACGAAGUAAAUAAAAAGGAAAAUGACGAAGAAGAAAAUUUUCCAAGACAGAAAAUAUCUGUUAUCGAUGAAGGUGCAUUAAAACAGAAGCUGAUCGUCACCCAGUAUUCGUUCAAGUGGCUUUACUUUCCAAAGGAGAUGUGUUUGGGGUGUCAUCUAUGCUUUUCGAUGAUCAGCCAAGCCUCAGUCUUGUUAGUAAUGGAGCAGAAUGUAUAAUGAUAUCAAAGAAAUUCUAUUUGUCCCACUGUACUGAUAGUAUGAAACGACGGCUUCUUACUACAGAAACACCGUACCCAGAUGAAGAUGCUCUUCAACGAAGUUUACAAGAUAAGAUCAACUGGGAUGCGUACAAAAAGAAAACUUUACAAGGGGUAGUGAAGAACAUAAAUUUGCGACGGCAAUUUGAAAAUCGUCA